UUGCAUCUCACGCAACGU
Molecule: small nuclear RNA, 18 nt
Filed under: Arabidopsis thaliana (thale cress)
Lineage: Eukaryota; Viridiplantae; Streptophyta; Magnoliopsida; Brassicales; Brassicaceae
Description: snRNA_16494
Source: RNAcentral